AUUGAACGCUGGCGGCAGGCUUAACACAUGCAAGUCGAGCGGAUGAAGGGUGCUUUCUUCUGGAUCUAGCGGCGGACGGGUGUGUAAUGCCUAGGAAUCUGCCUGGUUGUGGGGUAUAAUGUCUGCAAACGGGUGCUAAUACUGCAUACGUCCUGAGGGAGCUAGUGGGGGAUCUUCGGACCUUAUGCUAUCAGAUGAGUCUAGGUCGGAUUGGCUAGUUGGUGGGGUAAAGGCCUGCCUAGGCGACGAUCCGUAACUGGACUGAGAGGAUGAUCAGUCACACUGGAGCUGAGACGCGGUCCAGACUCCUACGGGAGGCAGCAGAGGGGAAUAUUAGACAAUGGGCGAAAGCCUGAUACAGCCAUGCCACGUGUGAGGAGAAAGUCUUCGGAUUGUAAAGAACUUUAAGUGGGGAGGAAGGGCAGUAAGUUAAUACCUUGCUGGUUUGACGUUACCAACAGAAUAAGCACCGGCUAACUUCGUG
RNAcentral lists this ribosomal RNA (484 nucleotides) under uncultured bacterium. RNAcentral describes it as "partial 16S ribosomal RNA". It matches the Rfam family "Bacterial small subunit ribosomal RNA", at positions 30 to 507 of the family's 1533-position model. The record is from RNAcentral.